Long non-coding RNA from Daucus carota subsp. sativus, 779 nucleotides. RefSeq lists it as uncharacterized. Lineage: Eukaryota; Viridiplantae; Streptophyta; Magnoliopsida; Apiales; Apiaceae. The record is from RefSeq and is a predicted model, not a curated record. The transcript is spliced from 3 exons.
UGCAUAAAUUAUACGAAUAAUAUCUCUCGCUCUCGUUGAUCUCUCUCCCUGUCUUACAUGUCUCUCUCACACUCUUUCUCGAUCUCUCUCUAUAAGUACAACCACUACGAGAAGGCAUCAUCUUCAAAUUAAGCUUCGUGUUCCUCGAAAUCAAGCUCCGUGUUCCUCAAAUCAAGCCCGACUUUUCACAAGGCUCCAGCAUUGAAAGGACGAAAGCUUUUGGUUCUAAUGACAAAGAGAUGUCGCUAAAGUGGAAAAGAAAACAGGUUCUGGAUGAAACUUGGAACUUAUUGGUUUAGUAAGACACUGGAACCAAUUUUGGAAAUGUUGAAGCGAGCUCUACCAGCAGCUACUGAGGAUGAAGCAGCUCAGGCAAAUGACAUAUCAACAAUUAAGUUUAGGGGUGUCAAUGUUGUAACUAAUUUUGAGAUGAACUAAUACGAUGUGGAAGCUAUUGGUAAAAGUUCUCUUCCUGAUGGUGGUGGCACAUCAAAGUGAUUAAAGCUCUCGCUGGAUGAGAAACAAAAAUCUAUUAAGCAGUAGCCAGCAACAAUUGUGAGAACAUCAUCACUUUUGCUGUUAUUCAGCCCGCAUCUGCUAUACCAUCUGGGCUAUCAUUUGAUCGGUUUCUUUUUAUAUUUUUGUGAUAAAAUCAAACAGGUUAAACUAAAAAGAGCAUCACUUUCUUUCUGUUAUAGAACCAGGUUUAUCUUGGCGGUUCUACCAUGGAACCAAAUUGAUACUAUUUGAUGUUUAAAUUAUAAUGCUAAUAUAUCUAA